AUCCAGUACAGGCUGGAUUUUCAGGAAUGCUGCUUGGUUCUGUGUCCUGGCACAUGGUGGUGAGAAAUACUGAACGCAUAAUUUUAAUAUAAGCAAGACCCAGGGCGAACCUGCGGGUUUUGUGCUGAGACAAGAGUUUCUCUGUGUAGCCUUGGCUGUCCUGGACACACUUUGCAGACCAGGCUGGCCUCUAUCCCACAGAGAUCUGUUGUCCCUGCCUCCCGAGUGCUGGAAUUAAACGAAUGCACCCUCACCACCUGGCUAAUUCCAAAUGACUGGCUGGGCAUUUGCUCCAUUGUCCUGUACUUCCUCUGUGAGGCCCAAAUAAAGUGAUUGCUUGAAAUUUAAUAAUAAUAAUAAUAAUAAUAAUAAACAUUCUUUGUUCUGCCUUUUCA
Molecule: long non-coding RNA, 395 nt
Organism: Meriones unguiculatus (Mongolian gerbil)
Lineage: Eukaryota; Metazoa; Chordata; Mammalia; Rodentia; Muridae
Exons: 2
Source: RefSeq, a predicted model, not a curated record